AAGCUUGCUCUCGGGUGACGAGCGGCGGACSGGUGAGUAAUGUCUGGGAAACUGCCUGAUGGAGGGGGAUAACUACUGGAAACGGUAGCUAAUACCGCAUAACGUCGCAAGACCAAAGUGGGGGACCUUCGGGCCUCAUGCCAUCAGAUGUGCCCAGAUGGGAUUAGCUAGUAGGUGGGGUAACGGCUCACCUAGGCGACGAUCCCUAGCUGGUCUGAGAGGAUGACCAGCCACACUGGAACUGAGACACGGUCCAGACUCCUACGGGAGGCAGCAGUGGGGAAUAUUGCACAAUGGGCGCAAGCCUGAUGCAGCCAUGCCGCGUGUGUGAAGAAGGCCUUCGGGUUGUAAAGCACUUUCAGCGGGGAGGAAGGCGKURAGGUUAAUAACCUYGKCGAUUGACGUUACCCGCAGAAGAAGCACCGGCUAACUCCGUGCCAGCAGCCGCGGUAAUACGGAGGGUGCAAGCGUUAAUCGGAAUUACUGGGCGUAAAGCGCACGCAGGCGGUCUGUCAAGUCGGAUGUGAAAUCCCCGGGCUCAACCUGGGAACUGCMUUCGAAACUGGCAGGCUAGAGUCUUGUAGAGGGGGGUAGAAUUCCAGGUGUAGCGGUGAAAUGCGUAGAGAUCUGGAGGAAUACCGGUGGCGAAGGCGGCCCCCUGGACCAA
RNAcentral lists this ribosomal RNA (667 nucleotides) under Klebsiella pneumoniae. RNAcentral's name for it is "bacterial SSU rRNA". It matches the Rfam family "Bacterial small subunit ribosomal RNA", at positions 76 to 737 of the family's 1533-position model. Lineage: Bacteria; Pseudomonadati; Pseudomonadota; Gammaproteobacteria; Enterobacterales; Enterobacteriaceae. The record is from RNAcentral.